AGCAGCCGCGGUAAUUCCAGCUCCAAUAGCGUAUAUUAAAGUUGUUGCAGUUAAAAAGCUCGUAGUUGAAUUUCGGGAUUAGUACGUUGGUCGUGCCUUCGGUACGUACUGGUGUUACUGAUUCCUACCUUCUGACGAACCAUCAUGUCAUUAAUUUGGUGUGGCGGGGAAUCAGGACUGUUACUUUGAAAAAUUAGAGUGUUUAAAGCAGGCUCGCGCUUGAAUACAUUAGCAUGGAAUAAUGAAAUAGGACGUUGACCCUAUUUUGUUGGUUUCUAGGAUUGACGUAAUGAUUAAUAGGGAUAGUUGGGGGCAUUAGUAUUCAAUUGUCAGAGGUGAAAUUCUUGGAUUUAUUGAAGACUAACUACUGCGAAAGCAUUUGCCAAGGAUGUUUUCAUUAAUCAAGAACGAAAGUUAGGGGAUCGAAGACGAUCAGAUACCGUCGUAGUCUUAACCAUAAACUAUGCCGACUAGGGAUCGGAUGAUGUUAUUUUU
Molecule: ribosomal RNA, 495 nt
Filed under: uncultured Glomus
Lineage: Eukaryota; Fungi; Glomeromycota; Glomeromycetes; Glomerales; Glomeraceae
Description: SSU rRNA
Rfam family: Eukaryotic small subunit ribosomal RNA
Source: RNAcentral